This 460-nucleotide ribosomal RNA is filed under the name uncultured bacterium. RNAcentral's name for it is "partial 16S ribosomal RNA". It matches the Rfam family "Bacterial small subunit ribosomal RNA", at positions 338 to 795 of the family's 1533-position model. The record is from RNAcentral.
CCUACGGGAGGCAGCAGUGAGGAAUAUUGGUCAAUGGACGCAAGUCUGAACCAGCCAUGCCGCGUGCAGGAAGACGGCUCUAUGAGUUGUAAACUGCUUUUGUACGAGGGUAAAUCUCGAUACGUGUAGCGGUUUGAAAGUAUCGUAUGAAUAAGGAUCGGCUAACUCCGUGCCAGCAGCCGCGGUAAUACGGAGGAUUCAAGCGUUAUCCGGAUUUAUUGGGUUUAAAGGGUGCGUAGGCUGUUUGAUAAGUUAGAGGUGAAAUCCCGGGGCUCAACUCCGGCACUGCCUCUGAUACUGUCGGACUAGAGUUUAGUUGCGGUAGGCGGAAUGUAUGGUGUAGCGGUGAAAUGCAUAGAGAUCAUACAGAACACCGAUUGCGAAGGCAGCUUACCAAGCUACGACUGACGUUGAGGCACGAAAGCGUGGGGAGCAAACAGGAUUAGAUACCCCUGUAGUC